AGUGAACGCUGGCGGCAGGCCUAACACAUGCAAGUCGAACGGCAGCACAGUAAGAUCCUGCUCUUACGGGUGGCGAGUGGCGGAAGGGUGAGGAAUACAACGGAACCUACUUUUUCGUGGGGGAUAACGAAGGGAAACCUACUCCAAUACAGCAUACGACCUACGGGUGAAAGCAGGGGAUCUUCGGACCUUGCGCGAUUGAAUGAGCCGAUGUCGGAUUAGCUAGUGGGCGGGGUAAAGGCCCACCAAGGCGACGAGCCGUAGCUGGUCGGAGAGGAUGAUAAGCCACACUGGAGCUGGGACACGGUCAAGACUCCUAAGGGAGGCACCAGUGGGGAAUAUGGGACAGUGGGCGCAAGCCUGAUCCAGCCAUACCGCGUGGGUGAAGAAGGCCUUCGGGUUGUAAAGCCCUUUUGUUGGGAAAGAACAGCAGCAGGUUAAUACCCCGCUGUUCUGACGGUACCCAAAGAAUAAGCACCGGCUAACUUCGUG
Molecule: ribosomal RNA, 492 nt
Filed under: uncultured bacterium
Lineage: Bacteria
Description: partial 16S ribosomal RNA
Rfam family: Bacterial small subunit ribosomal RNA
Source: RNAcentral